RNAcentral lists this unclassified non-coding RNA (260 nucleotides) under Hevea brasiliensis (rubber tree). The record is from RNAcentral. Lineage: Eukaryota; Viridiplantae; Streptophyta; Magnoliopsida; Malpighiales; Euphorbiaceae.
AUUUCUAUGCUGCACACUACCAGGAAGAAAUCUAGCUGUUUUCACAUUUAAUUAGUUCUGCAAUGGCUGAAAGUAGUACAUCAGUGAUGUUUGAAACUGAUAUUACUGCGCUAGAAGAAGCACUUUAUGCACAACAGCAGCUUCUGCAAAAGCUUAAUGCUGAGUUGGAUGUGGAAAGAGAAGCUGCAGCCUCUGCAGCUAGUGAAGCUUUAUCGAUGAUUUUGCGUUUACAAGGCGAAAAGGCUUCACUGAAGAUGGAA